This 145-nucleotide ribosomal RNA is filed under the name Spirochaeta aurantia. RNAcentral describes it as "partial 23S ribosomal RNA". It matches the Rfam family "Bacterial large subunit ribosomal RNA", at positions 2786 to 2925 of the family's 2925-position model. The record is from RNAcentral. Lineage: Bacteria; Pseudomonadati; Spirochaetota; Spirochaetia; Spirochaetales; Spirochaetaceae.
UGGGAAGCCCACCUCAAGAUGAGACAUCCCUGAGGGUUUAACCCUCUUGAAGGCACCAGGAAGACUACCUGGUUGAUAGGCUGGAAGUGUAAGCUCUGUAAGGGGUUCAGCUGACCAGUACUAAUCCGCCGUAAGGCUUGACCAU